CCUACGAGAGGCAGCAGUGAGGAAUAUUUGUCAAUGGGCGCGAGCCUGAACCAGCCAAGUAGCGUGAAGGAUGACUGCCCUACGUGUUGUAAACUUCUUUUAUAAAGGAAUAAAGUGAGGCACGUGUGCCUUUUUGUAUGUACUUUAUGACUAAGGAUCGGCUAACUCCGUGCCAGCAGCCGCGGUAAUACCGAGGAUCCGAGCGUUAUCCGGAUUUAUUGGGUUGAAAGGGCGCGUAGAUGGGUUGUUAAGUCAGUUGUGAAAGUUUGCGGCUCAACCGUAAAAUUGCAAUUGAUACUGGCAGUCUUGAGUACAGUUGAGGUAGGCGGAAUUCGUGGUGUAGCGGUGAAAUGCUUAGAUAUCACGAAGAACUCCGAUUGCGAAGGCAGCUUACUAAACUGCCACUGACAUUGAUGCUCGAAAGUGUGGGUAUCAAACAGGAUUAGAUACCCGAGUAGUC
This 460-nucleotide ribosomal RNA is filed under the name uncultured bacterium. Its description in RNAcentral is "partial 16S ribosomal RNA". It matches the Rfam family "Bacterial small subunit ribosomal RNA", at positions 338 to 795 of the family's 1533-position model. The record is from RNAcentral.